GGAGGUAGUGACAAUAAAUCACAAUGCGGGACUAUCAGUCUUGCAAUUGGAUUGAGAACAAUGUACAACUCUUAUCGAUAAGCCAUUGGAGGGCAAGUCUGGUGCCAGCAGCCGCGGUAAUUCCAGCUCCAAUAGCGUAUAUUAACGUUGUUGCAGUUAAAAAGCUCGUAGUUGAAGUGUGGGUGAUGCUGUCUGUGAGACUUCGGUCACUCGACAGUAAGUCACCCCCUUCCAGUAUCCAGUAGUGGGUAUUCAGUUACUUACUAUUGUGUGUUGGUCGUUUACUGUGAGAAAAUUAGAGUGUUCAAAGCAGGCGUUUGCUUGAAUAGAUUAGCAUGGAAUAAUAAUUGAAGGCUUUCGUGUUCGAUUUGAUUGGUUUGUUCAUGGAAGCAAGGUUAAAAGGAACAGUUGGGGGUAUUCAUAUUCACUAGUUAGAGGUGAAAUUCUCGGAUUUAUGGAAGAUGAACAAGUGCGAAAGCA
This 480-nucleotide ribosomal RNA is filed under the name Blastocystis sp. subtype 1. RNAcentral's name for it is "SSU rRNA". It matches the Rfam family "Eukaryotic small subunit ribosomal RNA", at positions 460 to 953 of the family's 1831-position model. Lineage: Eukaryota; Bigyra; Opalinata; Blastocystidae. The record is from RNAcentral.